Molecule: ribosomal RNA, 963 nt
Filed under: uncultured Gammaproteobacteria bacterium
Lineage: Bacteria; Pseudomonadati; Pseudomonadota; Gammaproteobacteria
Description: bacterial SSU rRNA
Rfam family: Bacterial small subunit ribosomal RNA
Source: RNAcentral
AGAGUUUGAUCCUGGCUCAGAUUGAACGCUGGCGGCAGGCUUAACACAUGCAAGUCGAGCGGGGAAGUGUAGCUUGCUACCUAACCUAGCGGCGGACGGGUGAGUAAUGCUUAGGAAUCUGCCUAUUAGUGGGGGACAACAUUCCGAAAGGAAUGCUAAUACCGCAUACGUCCUACGGGAGAAAGCAGGGGAUCUUCGGACCUUGCGCUAAUAGAUGAGCCUAAGUCGGAUUAGCUAGUUGGUGGGGUAAAGGCCUACCAAGGCGACGAUCUGUAGCGGGUCUGAGAGGAUGAUCCGCCACACUGGGACUGAGACACGGCCCAGACUCCUACGGGAGGCAGCAGUGGGGAAUAUUGGACAAUGGGCGGAAGCCUGAUCCAGCCAUGCCGCGUGUGUGAAGAAGGCCUUAUGGUUGUAAAGCACUUUAAGCGAGGAGGAGGCUACUCUAGUUAAUACCUAGAGAUAGUGGACGUUACUCGCAGAAUAAGCACCGGCUAACUCUGUGCCAGCAGCCGCGGUAAUACAGAGGGUGCGAGCGUUAAUCGGAUUUACUGGGCGUAAAGCGUGCGUAGGCGGCUGAUUAAGUCGGAUGUGAAAUCCCUGAGCUUAACUUAGGAAUUGCAUUCGAUACUGGUCAGCUAGAGUAUGGGAGAGGAUGGUAGAAUUCCAGGUGUAGCGGUGAAAUGCGUAGAGAUCUGGAGGAAUACCGAUGGCGAAGGCAGCCAUCUGGCCUAAUACUGACGCUGAUGUACGAAAGCAUGGGGAGCAAACAGGAUUAGAUACCCUGAUAGUCCAUGCCGUAAACGAUGUCUACUAGCCGUUGGGGCCUUUGAGGCUUUAGUGGCGCAGCUAACGCGAUAAGUAGACCGCCUGGGGAGUACGGUCGCAAGACUAAAACUCAAAUGAAUUGACGGGGGCCCGCACAAGCGGUGGAGCAUGUGGUUUAAUUCGAUGCACGCGAGA